RNAcentral lists this ribosomal RNA (450 nucleotides) under uncultured bacterium. RNAcentral describes it as "partial 16S ribosomal RNA". It matches the Rfam family "Bacterial small subunit ribosomal RNA", at positions 354 to 796 of the family's 1533-position model. The record is from RNAcentral.
GUGGGGAAUUUUGGACAAUGGGCGAAAGCCUGAUCCAGCCAUGCCGCGUGCAGGAUGAAGGCCUUCGGGUUGUAAACUGCUUUUGUACGGAACGAAAAGACUCCUUCUAAUAAAGGGGGUCCAUGACGGUACCGUAAGAAUAAGCACCGGCUAACUACGUGCCAGCAGCCGCGGUAAUACGUAGGGUGCAAGCGUUAAUCGGAAUUACUGGGCGUAAAGCGUGCGCAGGCGGUUUUGUAAGACAGGCGUGAAAUCCCCGGGCUCAACCUGGGAAUUGCGCUUGUGACUGCAAGGCUGGAGUGCGGCAGAGGGGGAUGGAAUUCCGCGUGUAGCAGUGAAAUGCGUAGAUAUGCGGAGGAACACCGAUGGCGAAGGCAAUCCCCUGGGCCUGCACUGACGCUCAUGCACGAAAGCGUGGGGAGCAAACAGGAUUAGAAACCCUUGUAGUCC